RNAcentral lists this unclassified non-coding RNA (4112 nucleotides) under Hevea brasiliensis (rubber tree). Lineage: Eukaryota; Viridiplantae; Streptophyta; Magnoliopsida; Malpighiales; Euphorbiaceae. The record is from RNAcentral.
CCAGCACCGCGGGCCACGUCACCCCGACUUGACGUUUCUGAAACAGACGAGCCAAAGCCCAAACCCAGGCUUUCGAAAUUUUGUGGCGUUCAUUUCAAGUCAAGCUGUGUCUUCUUCUUCCUCUUCUGGGCUGCUUCUUCUGUAAUUUUAGUUCUCGCUAUCUUUUUCUAGGGUAUCCGAUCAUUGUUUUUUCUUUUUUUUGUUGAACAUGACGACCAUGGAGAGCUUGAUAGGCUUGGUUAAUAGGAUUCAGAGAGCUUGUACCGUUCUCGGAGACUAUGGAGGUGAGGAUAAUGCUUUUUCUUCUCUCUGGGAAGCUCUUCCCUCUGUUGCCGUCGUUGGUGGACAGAGUUCAGGAAAGUCUUCGGUCUUGGAAAGCAUAGUAGGCCGAGACUUUCUUCCUAGAGGAUCAGGGAUUGUUACAAGGAGACCUUUGGUAUUGCAGCUUCAUAAGACUGAGGAGGGAUCACAGGAGUAUGCCGAAUUUCUUCAUCUUCCCAAGAGACGCUUUACUGAUUUUGCCCUGGUUCGCAAGGAGAUUCAGGAUGAAACUGAUAGAAUGACAGGAAAAACUAAACAAAUUUCGCCUGUUCCUAUUCAUCUCAGCAUCUACUCUCCAAAUGGUGGGUAAUUACUUUUUUUACUUCCUUAUUUGUGUAAUAUUUUAGGAGCUGUUGUACAUCUUUUGUUCAUGUUUAGGCCAAGGUUGAAAACAUUAGCUGUUUUUCUUGGUUCGCAUUAUCUUGCAGUUGUCAACUUAACACUGAUUGAUUUACCUGGCUUAACAAAAGUCGCUGUUGGUAUGUUCCACUUUUUUCCUUAUUCUGAAUUUUACUUGCACAUGCAUUUAUUUUAAUAUUUCAGUACUGAAUGGAAUGCAUUAUUUUCCUUAGAGGGACAGCCUGAGAGUGUUGUUCAAGAAAUCGAGACCAUGGUCCGUUCAUAUGUUGAAAAGCCAAAUUGUGUCAUACUUGCAAUAUCUCCGGCCAAUCAAGAUAUAGCAACAUCUGAUGCUAUCAAGCUUUCCAGGGAAGUGGAUCCCUCUGGUAUGCUUUUUUAACUUUUGUAUUUUAUGUUGGUUAUACAUUAUUGAAAGCACUUUGUAUCUUGGUUUGUAAAUUGCUCAGGUGAACGGACAUUUGGUGUCCUGACAAAGUUGGAUUUGAUGGACAAAGGAACUAAUGCAUUAGAUGUUCUUGAAGGAAGAUCUUAUCGGCUGCAGCAUCCUUGGGUUGGGAUUGUUAACCGCUCACAAGCAGAUAUUAACAAAAAUGUCGAUAUGAUUGUUGCAAGGCGCAAAGAGCGCGAGUAUUUUGCAACCAGCCCUGAUUAUGGGCAUUUAGCCAAUAAAAUGGGUUCAGAAUAUCUUGCAAAACUUCUCUCAAAGCACUUGGAGUCGGUAAUUAGGGCUCGAAUACCAAGCAUUACAUCCUUGAUAAACAAGAGCAUUGAGGAACUUGAAUCAGAGAUGGACCAUCUUGGUAGGCCUGUAGCUGUUGAUGCGGGGGUGAGUAGCUUAUUCCUUUUUUAUCAUUCUUCACCAAUGUGCUAUUUCUAUCAGUACAUAACUGACAGAUGAUAUUUUAGGCACAAUUAUACACUAUCUUGGAACUUUGUCGCGCAUUUGAUAGGAUAUUCAAGGAGCACCUGGAAGGAGGGUAAGCAUUAUUACUACUACUCUGUUGGCAACGAGGCAGUACUCCCCGUCCCCCUCCAACCAAAGAAAAAUAGGUUUUUCCUCAUUUCAAUCAUUUAAGUGUAGACUGCAGGAUAAUAUUUCUAAAUACAAUUUUUCAUAUCCUACUAAAGUCAAAUGUGGUUAUGAGACUGGUGUGGCCUGUGGCAAACUAACCAACCUUUUAUGUGAUUAGGUUUAUGUUUUAGGAAGAAUCCUACUAUGAGGAAUUCUUUUUUACCUGUCGUGAUGAGUUAAUUGGAAUUUUAUCAGGACCUAACCAAACCACGCUUAGUUCUCUAGCUGAGCUGGUUCUGUUAUUGUUAUCAGGACUUGACAGGAUACAGGCAAUUGCUGUAAAUUUGCCUUUAUUAAAUUUGAAUCUGAAGGGAUUUUUUUUCCUCGUUUUAAAUUCAUCAAUUGUAGAACAUCUAAAUUCAGAUUUCAUCUUAGAUGGAACAUCAACGUCUUCUUUAUCAAAUAAUAUAAUGCCUAGAUUUUUAUCUCAGGCGAACUGGAGGUGAUCGAAUUUAUGGCGUCUUUGACAAUCAGCUUCCUGCUGCUUUGAGGAAGCUUCCAUUUGAUCGACAUCUUUCACUGCAGAAUGUGAGGAGAGUGGUCUCAGAGGCAGAUGGUUAUCAGCCACAUCUGAUUGCCCCAGAGCAAGGUUACAGGCGUCUUAUCGAGGGAGCACUGAAUUAUUUUAGGGGUCCAGCUGAAGCUUCUGUGGAUGCUGUUCACUUUGUCCUAAAAGAACUUGUGAGAAAAUCAAUAGGAGAAACACAGGAAUUGAAGCGUUUUCCUACUUUGCAAGCUGAAAUAGCUGCUGCAUCAAAUGAGUCCUUGGAGAGGUUCCGUGAGGAUAGUAAGAAGACAGUUAUUAGAUUAGUGGAUAUGGAAUCUUCAUAUCUAACAGUGGAGUUUUUUCGAAGGCUUCCCCAGGAAGUGGAGAAAGGAGGAAGUCCUGCAGGAAAUCCAGCUUCCUCAACUGUGGACCGAUAUACAGAGGGACACUUCAGGAGGAUUGGGUCAAAUGUUUCCUCUUAUAUUAUGAUGGUGUCUGAGACACUCAAGAACACAAUUCCCAAGGCUGUGGUUUAUUGCCAAGUUAGAGAGGCCAAACAAUCAUUGCUAAAUCACUUCUACACACAAAUAGGGAAGAAAGAGGGUAAGCAGCUUUCACAAUUAUUGGAUGAAGACCCAGCAUUGAUGGAGAGGAGGAAACAGUGUGCGAAAAGGCUUGAAUUAUACAAGGCCUCGAGGGACGAGAUUGAUUCAGUAUCAUGGGCUCGCUAAGUUAUCUGGUAUUAUGAUUAGUAAAAGUUGCGGUCCAGACUUUUGAUGGUUGAGAUUCUUUUUCUUUCCUUAUAUAGUUUAUUGCCCGUUGUCUUUGUGGCUGAUUCCUUGGGAUGUGGGGUGGAUGCUGGACCUUCCUUACGUUGGAUAUUUUGUAGGUGGAUAGAUUGGCUUAACCCGUGGAAAAUCUCCUAGGCUUCCCUUAUAUCAUAAUAAUGUAAUAUAUUAAAAUGCUGAAACAUUACUUUCAUCGUUAGUCUUUCUCAAGGUGUUAUUAAAGAUAUACAAGCCUGGGCCUCUGAGUUCGAAGCUGUAAGCUUUUCUUUUGUCAGGCACACUGCCAAUGUGGCUGCUCAUAGGAUAGCAGUGAAGACAUUACAUGAUUCCUCUUUCCUUUGUUAUCCUAUGAAUUAAGGCGUUGUUUGUAUCUUCAGUCGUAUCCAGGUCCUUUGUUCAAUGAAGUUCAUAUCGUUGACAAAAAAAAAAAAAAAAAGUUUGUCUAUAGCCAUUCUUUUUUUUAAUAUUUCAUUGUUUCUCUCCAAAAGGGUGGGAGUGUAUAGUGGAAUCAGUAUCAAACCAAAAGAAGUGAUGUUUGUGCAACCAUUGUAUUGAUUCAUGGAGCUGUUUGAGAAUGUAAAUGUCAAGUGCUCGAUAGAUUUUUUUUCUUAAAAAAAAAAAGGAAAAGAAAAGAAAAAUCUCUGGCUGAGUUUAGUUGAAUGAAUCUAUGGCUCUUUUCAAAGGUUGAUCUUUUAUUGGAUAACAGCAAUAAUAGAGGAAUAAGAUUUGAGAUCUCUUGCCUCUUGUUAUAUUUUGCAAGCGGUUGAUUUAGUUGGACAAUAGAGUUUGUUAGACAGUUUGUUUUUUAAGUCCCGUGUUUUUGGAUAAAAUAUGGAUCCACUUUUACACAUCUGGGUUCAUGCCGUUCGUUAAUUUAGUUUUCUAAAUGUGUGAUUCUUGUUAUUUUACUGCGGUUGCAACUUUAAUGAAAGUAACAGAAAGGAAAAGGAAAAGGAAAAGGGUUUGUUGCAGCUUUGAUUAUAAGAAUAUUGUUAGUUAAGUUGAUUGGCAUUGAUUUGAAACAUUUUCAUGUGUUCAUGCUUUUGGAAAAACAUUGUUGCAGAUGGUGGUGUCAGUAGUAAGC